CCCAGUAAACGGCGGCCGUAACUAUAACGGUCCUAAGGUAGCGAAAUUCCUUGUCAGGUAAGUUCUGACCCGCAUGAAAGGCGUAAUGAUCUGGGCACUGUCUCAACAGCCCGCCCGGCGAAAUUGUAGUACCGGUGAAGAUGCCGGUUACCCGCGACAAGACGGAAAGACCCCAUGGAGCUUUACUGUAGCCUGAUAUUGGGUUUCGGUGUUGCAUGCACAGGAUAGAUGGGACGCUAGGAAGGCAGUGCUUUGGCAUUGCUGGAGCGGACGUUGGGAUACCAUCCUUGCGACAUUGGAAUUCUAACCUGCGCCUUUGAAUCAAGGCGGGGGACAUUGUUAGGUGGGCAGUUUGACUGGGGCGGUCGCCUCCUAAAAAGUAGCGGAGGCGUUCAAAGGUUCGUUCGAUCUGGACGGAAACCAGAUGAUUGAGUGCAAACGCAUAAACGAGCCUGACUGCGAGACUGACGGGUCGAGCAGAGACGAAAGUCGGAGUUAGUGAUCCGGUGGUAUGUGAGUGGAAAUGCCAUCGCUCAACGGAUAAAAGUUACCCUGGGGAUAACAGGCUGAUCUCCCCCAAGAGUCCACAUCGACGGGGAGGUUUGGCACCUCGAUGUCGGCUCAUCGCAUCCUGGGGCUGAAUUCGGUCCCAAGGGUUUGGCUGUUCGCCAAUUAAAGCGGUACGCGAGCUGGGUUCAGAACGUCGUGAGACAGUUCGGUCCCUAUCUGUCGUGGGCGCAGGAUAUUUGAGGAGCGCUGUCCUUAGUACGAGAGGACCGGGAUGGACGCACCGCUGGUGCACCAGUUGUCACGCCAGUGGCACAGCUGGGCAGCUAUGUUCGGAUCGGAUAAACGCUGAAAGCAUCUAAGCGUGAAGCCGGCCUUAAGAUAAGAUAUCCCACUGAGUCAAUCAGGUAAGACCCCUUGAAGACUACAAGGUUGAUAGGCACACAGUGUAAGCGGAGUGAUCCGUUCAGCUAGCGUGUACUAAUAGGUCGAGGGCUUGACCC
This 1010-nucleotide ribosomal RNA is filed under the name human gut metagenome. RNAcentral describes it as "bacterial LSU rRNA". It matches the Rfam family "Bacterial large subunit ribosomal RNA", at positions 1919 to 2925 of the family's 2925-position model. The record is from RNAcentral.